UACGAAGGGGGCUAGCGUUGUUCGGAAUUACUGGGCGUAAAGGGCGCGCAGGCGGCCUUGGAAGUUGGGCGUGAAAGCCCCGGGCUCAACCCGGGAAUAGCGCUCGAUACUCCGAGGCUUGAGUUCGGGAGAGGAGGGUGGAAUUCCCAGUGUAGAGGUGAAAUUCGUAGAUAUUGGGAAGAACACCGGUGGCGAAGGCGGCUCUCUGGACCGAUACUGACGCUGAGGCGCGAAAGCGUGGGGAG
This 245-nucleotide ribosomal RNA is filed under the name uncultured bacterium. RNAcentral describes it as "partial 16S ribosomal RNA". It matches the Rfam family "Bacterial small subunit ribosomal RNA", at positions 524 to 768 of the family's 1533-position model. The record is from RNAcentral.